Molecule: transfer RNA, 96 nt
Organism: Colletotrichum sublineola
Lineage: Eukaryota; Fungi; Ascomycota; Sordariomycetes; Glomerellales; Glomerellaceae
Rfam family: tRNA
About the family: Transfer RNA (tRNA) molecules are approximately 80 nucleotides in length.
Source: Rfam
GGCCGGCUGGCGUAAUGGUAGCGCUUCAGACUUCUAUCUUCUCUUCCUAGGGAUAUAGCUAUCUGAAGGUUGCGGGUUCGAGCCCCGCGUUGGUCA